AAUAUUGCACAAUGGGCGCAAGCCUGAUGCAGCCAUGCCGCGUGUGUGAAGAAGGCCUUCGGGUUGUAAAGCACUUUCAGUCAGGAGGAAAGGUUAGGAGUUCAUACCUGCUAGCUGUGACUUUACUGACAGAAGAAGCCCCGGCUAACUCCGUGCCAGCAGCCGCGGUAAUACGGAGGGUGCGAGCGUUAAUCGGAAUUACUAGGCGUAAAGGGUACGCAGGCGGUUUGUUAAGCGAGAUGUGAAAGCCCCGGGCUCAACCUGGGAACUGCAUUUCGAACUGGCAAACUAGAGUGUGAUAGAGGGUAGGAGAAUUUCAGGUUUAGCGGUGAAAUGCGUAGAGAUCUGAAGGAAUACCGAUGGCGAAGGCAGCCACCUGGGUCAACACUGACGCUCAUGUACGAAAGCGUGGGGAGCAAACGG
RNAcentral lists this ribosomal RNA (423 nucleotides) under uncultured bacterium. RNAcentral's name for it is "partial 16S ribosomal RNA". It matches the Rfam family "Bacterial small subunit ribosomal RNA", at positions 360 to 775 of the family's 1533-position model. The record is from RNAcentral.